Molecule: ribosomal RNA, 497 nt
Filed under: uncultured bacterium
Lineage: Bacteria
Description: partial 16S ribosomal RNA
Rfam family: Bacterial small subunit ribosomal RNA
Source: RNAcentral
GAUGAACGCUGGCGGCGUGCCUAAUACAUGCAAGUCGAGCGAACGGACGAGAAGCUUGCUUCUCUGAUGUUAGCGGCGGACGGGUGAGUAACACGUGGAUAACCUACCUAUAAGACUGGGAUAACUUCGGGAAACCGGAGCUAAUACCGGAUAAUAUUUUGAACCGCAUGGUUCAAAAGUGAAAGACGGUCUUGCUGUCACGUAUAGAUGGAUCCGCGCUGCAUUAGCUAGUUGGUAAGGUAACGGCUUACCAAGGCAACGAUGCAUAGCCGACCUGAGAGGGUGAUCGGCCACACUGGAACUGAGACACGGUCCAGACUCCUACGGGAGGCAGCAGUAGGGAAUCUUCCGCAAUGGGCGAAAGCCUGACGGAGCAACGCCGCGUGAGUGAUGAAGGUCUUCGGAUCGUAAAACUCUGUUAUUAGGGAAGAACAGAUGUGUAAGUAACUGUGCACAUCUUGACGGUACCUAAUCAGAAAGCCACGGCUAACUACGUG